CGGUGAAGAAGAGAAUCUGACUUAGAAUAUGAAUCAAGUGAGAUUCUCUUUUCUUCAUUC
This 60-nucleotide microRNA precursor is filed under the name Strongyloides ratti. RNAcentral's name for it is "microRNA str-mir-1175 precursor". Lineage: Eukaryota; Metazoa; Nematoda; Chromadorea; Rhabditida; Strongyloididae. The record is from miRBase by way of RNAcentral.